UACCAGCUCUCCGAGUAGUGUGGAUGUUUAUUGGGCCUAAAGCAUCCGUAGCUUGCUAAGCAAGUCCCCUGUUAAAUCCACCGAUCUAAUCGUUGGAUUGCGGGGGAUACUGUUUGGCUAGGGGACGGGAGAGGCCGACGGUAUUUCCGGGGUAGGGGUGAAAUCCUAUAAUCCCGGGAAGACCACCAGUGGCGAAGGCUGUCGGCUAGAACGCGCCCGACGGUGAGGGAUGAAAGCUGGGGGAGCGAACCGGAUUAGAUACCCGGGUAGUCCCAGCUGUAAACGAUGCAGGCUAGGUGUUUGGGCGGCCAAGAGCCGCUCUAGUGCCGCAGGGAAGCUGUUAGGCCUGCCGCCUGGGGAGUACGGCCGCAAGGCUGAAACUUAAAGGAAUUGGCGGGGGAGCACCACAAGGCGUGAAGCUUGCGGUUC
This 429-nucleotide ribosomal RNA is filed under the name uncultured archaeon. Its description in RNAcentral is "bacterial SSU rRNA". It matches the Rfam family "Archaeal small subunit ribosomal RNA", at positions 474 to 903 of the family's 1478-position model. The record is from RNAcentral.